This is a small nuclear RNA of Capra hircus (goat), 107 nucleotides long. NCBI's taxonomy places the organism in Eukaryota, Metazoa, Chordata, Mammalia, Artiodactyla, Bovidae. The record is from Ensembl.
GUGCUCGCUUCGGUGGUACAUACACUAAAACUGGAACAAAAGAGAGAUGAUUAGCACAUCCGCUGUACAAAGCUGACACUCAAAUUCGUGAAGCAUUCCAUAUUUUA